This 482-nucleotide ribosomal RNA is filed under the name uncultured bacterium. Its description in RNAcentral is "partial 16S ribosomal RNA". It matches the Rfam family "Bacterial small subunit ribosomal RNA", at positions 30 to 507 of the family's 1533-position model. The record is from RNAcentral.
AUUGAACGCUGGCGGCAUGCUUUACACAUGCAAGUCGAACGGUAACAGCACUUCGGUGGCUGACGAGUGGCGAACGGGUGAGUAAUACAUCGGAACGUGCCUAGUAGUUGGGGAUAACUACUCGAAAGAGUAGCUAAUACCGCAUGAGAUCUAAGGAUGAAAGCAGGGGACCUUCGGGCCUUGCGCUACUAGAGCGGCUGAUGGCAGAUUAGGUAGUUGGUGGGAUAAAAGCUUACCAAGCCGACGAUCUGUAGCUGGUCUGAGAGGACGACCAGCCACACUGGGACUGAGACACGGCCCAGACUCCUACGGGAGGCAGCAGUGGGGAAUCUUGGACAAAGGGCGCAAGCCUGAUCCAGCAAUGCCGCGUGCAGGAUGAAGGCCUUCGGGUUGUAAACUGCUUUUGUACGGAACGAAAAGCCCUCUUCUAAUACAGGAGGGUCAUGACGGUACCGUAAGAAUAAGCACCGGCUAACUACGUG